AUUGAACGCUGGCGGCAUGCCUUACACAUGCAAGUCGAACGGCAGCGCGGGAGCAAUCCUGGCGGCGAGCGGCGAACGGGUGAGUAAUACAUCGGAACGUGCCCAAUCGUGGGGGAUAACGCAGCGAAAGCUGUGCUAAUACCGCAUACGAUCUACGGAUGAAAGCAGGGGAUCGCAAGACCUUGCGCGAAUGGAGCGGCCGAUGGCAGAUUAGGUAGUUGGUGAGGUAAAGGCUCACCAAGCCUUCGAUCUGUAGCUGGUCUGAGAGGACGACCAGCCACACUGGGACUGAGACACGGCCCAGACUCCUACGGGAGGCAGCAGUGGGGAAUUUUGGACAAUGGGCGAAAGCCUGAUCCAGCCAUGCCGCGUGCAGGAUGAAGGCCUUCGGUUG
Molecule: ribosomal RNA, 394 nt
Filed under: uncultured bacterium
Lineage: Bacteria
Description: bacterial SSU rRNA
Rfam family: Bacterial small subunit ribosomal RNA
Source: RNAcentral